Molecule: ribosomal RNA, 277 nt
Filed under: uncultured bacterium
Lineage: Bacteria
Description: partial 16S ribosomal RNA
Rfam family: Bacterial small subunit ribosomal RNA
Source: RNAcentral
AUUGAACGCUGGCGGAAUGCUUUACACAUGCAAGUCGAACGGCAGCACGGGUGCUUGCACCUGGUGGCGAGUGGCGAACGGGUGAGUAAUGCACCGGAACGUAUCCAAUAAUGGGGGAUAACGCACCGAAAGGUGUGCUAAUACCGCAUACGCCCUCGAGGGGGAAAGGCGGGGGAGUCGUAAGACCUCGCGUUAAUGGAGCGGCCGAUGCCGGAUUAGCUAGUUGGUGAGGUAAAGGCUCACCAAGGCGACGAUCCGUAGCUGGUCUGAGAGGACG